UCGGGCCGGAUACACGGUGGUGACCGCUGACGUCCUGAGGGAUGCCCGCAUCCUCAUCUUGCACAUGGGCCGCGACUUCUCCUUCGACGACUGUGGCCGUGCGUUCACCUGCCUGCCCGCGGAGGAGCCCGGCGCCGCAGCCGAAGCGCUGGUCUGCAACCUGGACAGCCUGCUGGGGACCAUGACACACAGGCUCUGUGUAGGGUCCCCACCUGGCGUCUGGGUCUGCAGCACCGAUAUGCUCCUCACUGUGCCCUCAACACCAGGGAUCAACUGGGAUGGCUUCCAGGGUGUCCGAGUGAUUGCAGUGCCUGGGACCCCAGCAUAUGCCAGGAACCAUGGGGUCUACCUCACCAAUGAGCAGGGGCUGGUACAUGACAUUAUCUACAAAGGCACGGAGGCCCAGAUCCAGCAGUGUGCAGGGCCAGAUGGCACCGUCCCACUGGUCUGUGGGAUUGUUUUCUUGUCUUCGGAUGCUGCUGAGCAGCUUCUGGCCACCCACGUCAUCCCUCCUCUGGACGCCUGCACCUACAUGGGGCUGGACUCGGGGGCACCACCCAUCCAGCUUUCCCUCUUCUUCGACAUUGUGCUGUGCAUGGCAGGGGGGAUGACAGAGGAAGAUUUUGUGAAGGGUGGUGGCGAUGCCAGUGUGAGGAGUGCCCGCUCUGUACUGUGGACAGCUCUCCGUGGCUUCCCUCUUAGCAUGGUCUGCAUUCCCAACGCGUCCUAUGACUACAUGAGUGCCUCUGCGAGCGACCACAUCCGCAGCCUGACUCUCCUGCCUGGCUCUGCCAGCCACCUUCGCUUCUGCAAGACAGCCCAUUCCCACGUGGAUCAACCCUUUCUCCUGGAGGAUGGCUCUUCGGUCACCAACUGCCUGCUGGAAGGAGCUGUGCAGCUGGCAGCUGGCAGUGUCAUCCAGCACUGUCACCUCCAGGGUCCCCUGGUGAUCGGUCCUGGCUGCCUCCUCUCAGGCCUCAACGUGGGCUCCUCACCAGCCCUGCGGGGCUGUUCCCUGCGUGAUAUUGUCCUGCAGGGCCACCACGUCCGGCUGCGUGACCUGUCCUGCCGCGUGUUCACUCUCACCGGCCGCCUCGAUGACUGGCAGAGCCCUGUGGAAAAAGCCACCUACCUGAAUGUGCCCUGGGCUGAGUUUUUCCAACGGACGGGUGUACGGGAAGGGGACCUUUGGGAUGCCGAGAUGCCGCAGAGGAGCCGCUGCCUGCUCAGCGCCCGGCUCUUCCCAGUGCUGCACGCCCGCGAGGUGCUGGGCCUGGAGGAUGUGCUGUGGCUGCUUGGCCUGGCCACUGUGGCCAGUGAGAAGCUGGCACGCUGGAGGACGGCCUGGCGUAUGUCCUGGCAGGAGCUGCUGCCCUGCCUGGACACGGAGGCCGAGCUGGACGCCCGCCAGGCCCUGUUCUUCCUGCAGGGCCAGCGCAAGGUGCGGCGGGUGCUGCUGGGGCGCCAGGACAGCAGCCUCCUGCCUCUUGCCCGCAGCGCCGUCCAUGAGGGCUACCACAAGGCCUUGCUGAGCACACUGGAUGAGGUUGCCUCCACGGCCAGUGAUGCUGGUAUUGCAGCACGGGCACUUGCCUGUAUUGCUGAGGUCCUGGGCUGCAUGGCACAAGGGGAAGGGGGCUUGCGGAGUGGUCCUGCUGCCAACAGGGAGUGGGCCUCAGCUUUUGGGCGCCUGGAGAGCGGGGACAUCGCUGGUGGUGUCCAGGAGCUGGCUGCUGAGCGGCAGAAGUGGAUGAGCCGGCCGGCUCUGCUGGUGAGAGCAGCUCGUCAUUACGAGGGGGCCGAGCAGAUCCUCGUCCGGCAGGCAGUGAUGUCCUCAUGCCAGUUCAUCACUGAUGAACCGGUGGAGCUGCCACCCUUGGGGCACUGGGUGCAGGUGGUGUGUCCGGCCCGCCUGGACCUCUCUGGUGGCUGGAGCGACACACCCCCCAUCACCUAUGAGCAUGGGGGGGCUGUGGUGGACGUGGCAGUGCUGGUGGAUGGGUGCCGACCCAUUGGUGCCCGGGUGCGGCGCAUUGUCCAGCCAGAGCUGCGCCUCGUCAGCCUCAGUGGGACACCACAAAGCGAGGUGGUGGCAGAGCUGGUGUGCCGGGAGCUGGAGCACUUACAGGAUUACUGCCAGCCACAUGCACCAGGAGCCCUGCUCAAAGCUGCCUUUAUCUGCACCCAGGUUGUGCAGUUCCCCUCACAGACACCCUUGUGGGCCCAGCUGAUGAAGAAUUUUGGGGGUGGCUUUGAGGUGCACACCUGGUCCCAGCUGCCCCAUGGGUCUGGCCUCGGUACCAGCAGCAUCCUGGCAGGAGCAGUGAUGGCAUCCCUGUACCGGGCAGCAGGGAAGGCUGCCAGCACUGAGUCUCUUAUCCAUGCUGUGCUGCACUUGGAGCAGAGACUCACAACAGGGGGUGGUUGGCAGGACCAAGUUGGUGGGCUCGUUCCUGGCAUCAAAAUCGGGAGGUCAAAGGCCCAGCUGCCACUCAGAGUAGAAGUGGAGCAGAUCCAAGUCCCUGAUGGUUUUACCGAGACCCUGAACAAUCACCUGCUGCUGGUGUACACGGGGAAGACUCGCCUGGCCCGCAACCUGCUCCAGGAUGUGGUGAGGAACUGGUAUGCCAGGCUGCCCUCCAUCGUGCAGAAUGCUGAUGCGCUGGUGACCUACUGCUCCUUGGCAAGUGCCUGGACUGCUAUUGGCAGCAGAAGAAGUGCAUGGCCCCGGGCUGUGAGCCGCUGGCUGUUGGUCGCAUGAUGGACACUCUCCGGCCCUAUGUCUACGGGCAGUGCUUGGCUGGGGCUGGUGGUGGUGGCUUCCUUUACAUCUUAACCAAAGCCCCUCGGCAGAAAGAGGCUUUGCACCAGAUCCUGGCAAACACUGAGGGAUUGGGCAACUUCAGCAUCCACAGCAUCGAAGUGGACACGGGUGGUUUCUCUGUGGAGGUCGUGGGAUGUGAUACAAAGGAUGGUGCUCACCCUGGAGGGGACAGGGCUGUGUGAAGGACUUCAGCCCUGGCCCAUUGCUGGCAUAUAUCCAGAACAGGUGCAGGGAAAUCCCCACUGCUUUAGGGGCAACUUUUUCAGCCAGCUCCAGUGGAUGCCUUAGGUCUCCAUAUGGCCUUUUUGUGCUGCUACUUCCCAAAAAAGCCAGAGCCUGGAGAAGCUGUGAGAAGUCGUGCAGGCAGGCAAAACUACCCCUGCUGGGUGGCCUUGCUGGAGGGACAGUUUGCUAGGUCCUCCAGCCUGAUUUUGGUUUUUCACUCCAGUCUUUACAGUUCUCCAAAGGGAACAAGCAGCAUUUGUGAUGCUGCAUCUAGCAGGAACCUUCCUGCUCUUCCAGCAGCAGAGACCCAAGCUCCCUGUUCAGUAUGCAAUGCUCUUGCACCAGGGAUGCAGCUGGAUGUGGAAUUAAGACCCUCUCCUGUCCUGAGGCACUGUUUCAGCAGUGAAAUAGUGGAUAGUGCAAGCAAGUUUCUAGUCUGUGCAGUCUGUCUGAAUAAAAAGACUUGUUCCCAG
Non-coding RNA from Sturnus vulgaris (Common starling), 3522 nucleotides. The record is from RefSeq and is a predicted model, not a curated record. NCBI's taxonomy places the organism in Eukaryota, Metazoa, Chordata, Aves, Passeriformes, Sturnidae.